RNAcentral lists this long non-coding RNA (322 nucleotides) under Elaeis guineensis (African oil palm). RNAcentral's name for it is "long non-coding RNA (EGUI_LNC069831)". Lineage: Eukaryota; Viridiplantae; Streptophyta; Magnoliopsida; Arecales; Arecaceae. The record is from RNAcentral.
CCCCGGCUAGCCAUCUGGGAUCCUACCUAGUGCGUCGGGCCUACGACUUAUACGUUCAAAGGUAUUUCGGUGAAGCAUACAUCCCAAACACACAAAGCAAUUCAAGUAAGAGAGAAAGUUAAGAAAAUAUGUUUUCGAUUUUAUUCAGACUUGAAAUUGAGAUUACAAAAUGGAUCAAAGCCCGAUUACAAAUUGAGAUCACAAAAUGGGUCGAAGCUCGACUACAAGUACAUCAAACAAAAACAAAACUCCGACUAAUCAUCGGAGUCGGCUUCUUCCACCGGGAGAAGACCGGGGGCGAUCGGCGCAUCCACUCGGCUCG